AUUGAACGCUGGCGGCAGGCCUAACACAUGCAAGUCGAGCGGAUGAAGGGAGCUUGCUCCUGGAUUCAGCGGCGGACGGGUGAGUAAUGCCUAGGAAUCUGCCUGGUAGUGGGGGAUAACGUCCGGAAACGGGCGCUAAUACCGCAUACGUCCUGAGGGAGAAAGUGGGGGAUCUUCGGACCUCACGCUAUCAGAUGAGCCUAGGUCGGAUUAGCUAGUUGGUGGGGUAAAGGCCUACCAAGGCGACGAUCCGUAACUGGUCUGAGAGGAUGAUCAGUCACACUGGAACGGAGACACGGUCCAGACUCCUACGGGAGGCAGCAGUGGGGAAUAUUGGACAAUGGGUGAAAGCCUGAUCCAGCCAUGCCGCGUGUGUGAAGAAGGUCUUCGGAUUGUAAAGCACUUUAAGUUGGGAGGAAGGGCAGUAAGUUAAUACCUUGCUGUUUUGACGUUACCAACAGAAUAAGCACCGGCUAACUUCGUG
This 484-nucleotide ribosomal RNA is filed under the name uncultured bacterium. RNAcentral's name for it is "partial 16S ribosomal RNA". It matches the Rfam family "Bacterial small subunit ribosomal RNA", at positions 30 to 507 of the family's 1533-position model. The record is from RNAcentral.